Molecule: transfer RNA, 69 nt
Filed under: Hydrelia parvulata
Lineage: Eukaryota; Metazoa; Arthropoda; Insecta; Lepidoptera; Geometridae
Description: tRNA-Gln
Rfam family: tRNA
About the family: Transfer RNA (tRNA) molecules are approximately 80 nucleotides in length. Their secondary structure includes four short double-helical elements and three loops (D, anti-codon, and T loops).
Source: RNAcentral
UAUAUUUUAGUGUAAGAAGCACGUUAAUUUUUGAUAUUAAAAGAUAUAGUUUAAUUCUAUAAAAUAUAU